GCCCGGCUAGCUCAGCGGAACGAGCGCCCCGCCCACACCGGGGAGGCCGCCGGUUCGACCCCGGCGCCGGGUA
Molecule: transfer RNA, 73 nt
Filed under: Actinoplanes awajinensis subsp. mycoplanecinus
Lineage: Bacteria; Bacillati; Actinomycetota; Actinomycetes; Micromonosporales; Micromonosporaceae
Source: Rfam by way of RNAcentral